Papaver somniferum (opium poppy) is the source of this 245-nucleotide long non-coding RNA. RefSeq lists it as uncharacterized. The transcript is spliced from 3 exons. Lineage: Eukaryota; Viridiplantae; Streptophyta; Magnoliopsida; Ranunculales; Papaveraceae. The record is from RefSeq and is a predicted model, not a curated record.
GUUCGCGUACACACGGGUCUUUCAUGAACUCCUAUUAUUCCAUCAAGUUUAAAACCGCAUGGACGAAGCCAAAGCUAACCCGUACAAAGGCGUAUCUAAGGAGAAGUUGGAAUGAUCCUCUCGGGCAAUGUCAUGUCACACCAUUUGGAUUCUCUGUUAUGAUGAAAAAGCUGAUGGACUUGGCCGAAGGUAAAAUUGUGAUGGCUUUGGAGGGGGUACAAUUUGGACUCUUUAGCAAAUUCAGG